RNAcentral lists this long non-coding RNA (1769 nucleotides) under Sus scrofa (pig). RNAcentral describes it as "lncRNA (ENSSSCG00040068339.1, ENSSSCG00060012582.1)". The record is from RNAcentral. Lineage: Eukaryota; Metazoa; Chordata; Mammalia; Artiodactyla; Suidae.
ACGUCACCACCUUCGCGUCUUUUCUGGAGAGCGCGGGAAGACACCGAGAUGAACCCAGCAGGCAAGCUGGCAGGAAGUCAGACUGCGGCCCUUGCCUGAGAGGAUGACACAGGCCAAAGGAGAGAAGGAAAACAACAAGGCAGCCAGAGCUAGGGUCUGUGCUCAGCUCUGGAAGAUGCAGCCAUGGGUGAAUCAACUCUCCUUGCUUCAAGUUUAUGCUUCAUUAGGAGAGAUAAGAAAGCCAAGGCCUGCAGCGUGUGUUAGUUCCAGGUCAGAGAUCAAACCCAAGCCAUAGUAGUGACCUGAGACACUGCCGUGACAAUGCUGGAUCCUUAACCAACUGUGCUUGGCCCAGGAUCGAACCUGCAUCCCAGCGCUCCAGAGACACCACCAAUUCUGUUGUGCCACAGUGGGAACGCUCUCUCUCUCUCUCUCUCUUUUUUUAAUUGGUGGGGGAAGAAAAGGAUACAGUGAGACAGCUCAGUCCAUAGCCCACUUCUGGUUCUUUCUGACUAUGACAUGAAGGAUUUUUCAAAUCUUUGCAUACCAGAAAUCGCUGAUUUUUCCUUUCAAAGAGGAUUGCCUCCCACCCUGUCCUUUUUCUUCCCUAAGUUCCAUCAUUAGUUUCCCAGGGCCUUGCUGGGGGAAGGUUCCCCCCUCUGAGAAUAUGGUAGGAAUGAAACUUGCUAGAAAAAUGCGAAGCAUUCCCAGCUUUGCCACCUCCACAUGGCAGCAGGCUGCAAUGCUAUCUUUGUGCCUUCAGAUAAAGAGAUCAAAGUUUCUUCAAGAGCUGAUUCCCCAGGCUGAUUUGCAUGGGGGUGGGGUGGGGUAGGGAGUGUGAGGAUAAGCAAGAUAGGAUGCAAGUGGAAAUUUCUAUUUCAAAGGUGAAGUCUCCAGCAUGGCCAGCAGGACUGGAUCUGCACUAGCAAGGAACCAGCCCUGUUCUCUGGCUGGGGGAUCAGACAUAAGGUUUAAGGCAGAGUCUGACCUCAGUCUAGAAUUCUGGGAUGUCUACACUGGAAGGUGCCUUAGGCCUAGCUAAGCCAACCCACUCAUUUUACAGAUGGGGAUAUUGAGGUCUCAGAAGUGGCAGACUAGACCUGGAGACGAGUGCUCUUGACUUUUUUCCUGAAAUAUAUUUGAUAUAUAAUAUUGUGUAAUUGUGUAAAUUUAGGGGAUAUAACAUGUUAAUUUGAUGCAUUUUUAUAUUGUAAUAUGAUUGCCAUUGUAGCAAUAAUUAGCACCUCUGUCAUGAUAACUAUCCUUUAUUUUUAGUGGUUGGACCAUUAAGUUCUAGUCUCUCAGUAAAAUUUUUUAAUUUUGUCUUUUUAGGGCCACACCCGUGGCAUAGGGAGGUUCCCAGGCUAGGGGUCCAAUCGGAGCUGUAGCUGCCGGUCAACACCACAGCCACAGCAAUGCCGGAUCCGAGCUGCAUCUGUGACCUGCACCACAGUUCACUGCAAUGCUGGCUCCUUAACCUAAUAAGCAAGGCCAGGGAUCGAACCUGUGUCCUCAUGGAUACUAGUCGGAUUCGUUACCACUGAGCCACGAAGGGAACUCCAUCUCAGUAAAUUUGAUGAUUAUUAUAUUGCUGUCUAUAUUCACUAUACUGUGCAUUAAAUCUCUAGGGCUUAUUUACUACUCGUUGCAACUUCUCUUGGCUUUAUGUCCAGUGUACUUUCCAUGACCUCUUGCUGUUUUCAUCCACUAGUGUGUGAGUAUAUGGGUAUAGAUUCAUCAAUAAAUAAAACUUGAGAGAUUAAUAAAAC